GCCUGUCGGGGCUCCUCUGGGCCUGCUGGGGCUCCUCCGGGCCUGCUGAGGCUCCUGUGGGCCUGAGGGUGCGGAGAGGCCGGCUUAGGGCGAGUGCUCCCUUAAUUGGGAGGUGGGCACCUGCCCGGGGCUGGCAGACUGGGAUGCAGUCAUCCCAUUGGGCUCCUUAGCUGGGCAGACCCCAGAAACCUCCGGCAAGGCUCCUCUGGCCAGCAGAGGGCGGCAGCGUUACGCUUUUGCCCAGCUGGAGCAGGGCCUUUUGGUGGCGGGGGAUGUUAGCCAGAGGCCUGAUGGGAGCGGCGCUUUUGCACAGUGGGAUCCGCCAGGAGGGUCCUCCGUCCUCUGUGUUGUCUGGCCUGUAGAAAGGGGGGGGGCAUUCUGCUCCGUGCCUGCCAUGUCACCUUCAGAAAACCCGGCCCACUAACCUUAACUGAGAGUGUUUGUUUAAGGGGGAGAGCAAGGAGCAGGGGGAGGCUCAUUUCUGGUUAAGUUUUUCAUUUGAGCAGAGACUUCCUUUCCCAGUCAUUUUCCAGCUUCUCUGACAGGACAGAAAAGAUGCAAACACAAGAGACGUUCUCCCCAGCCCUGGCAUGGGGGGUGGCUGCCAAGCAAGGGUUCGAGAGGAAGGCUUACCAUUUGUCAGCGAGUGACGUAGGCCUGGGCUCCCAGCACUGUGUGCUGCCCGGAGGCCUCCCAAGGCCAGCAUUUCACGCGGGCUUCCAGCCUGGCCAGACGCCUUGGGAUGGGGCGCUUCCUGGGGAGCACGGGCUGCCUGCCUUCUUCCUGCUUGUAUUCUCAGCGCUCAUCACGGCUGUGGACACACACUAGGCGCAUGGUUAGCCGCCCCAAAUGUGGUUUAUACCCCCUUGCAGAAAUGGGCCUGUUGCCUAAAGCAAAGGCUGAAAGCCUGCCACAUGGGCCGCUCUCCCCAUUUCACCUUGUCUGAGGUUGUGCUUUCUCCAGAGGAGCUGAUGUUCAUGUUGGGGGCACCAGCCCAUUGGUCAGCAGUCUCGUUGUGCUGUCAUGAAGUCCCCCAACUGCUGGGGUCUGUCAGUGUCUCGUUCCGAAGACGUCUGUGAGGAGACUGUGGAUCAGAACCCAGGCCAACAUUCAGCCAAGUUUUCAAGAUCAAGCAGACGGCAUCGGCCAUUUCCGAUCGUGUCACCUGCCCGAACUUCCCCGUGUCGCCGUUAGCUUGUCAUUUGUGCUCCAGAACGGCUGCAGCGAAUCCGAAUCCGGCCGCCCUUUUAUGCGGUUUCCGACUGUCCUGUUGUAGUCGGGUGUAUAUUUUGCUUUUGGUUCAGCUGAUGAACCAUGACUGCGCGAGAAGAAACCAUGAAGAAGGGCAAUUUGUAAAGAAUCUGCGGCAAGACUGGCAGAAAGAAUGGCGCGAAGAAAGCCGAGGGAGGACUGAGGGGAGCUUUUGAGAGCUGGGCCUUGGCUGUGUUUUCUUCGUCCUCCUAUGGAAACGGGCUUGGUGCAGAGCAGAGCCAGAACCUCCAUCCUGCAGCAUCCACACGCCAGGCGUUCUCCGGGAAACGUGGAACCUGGCAAAGAGCUGGUGCCGGACUCCCCGGAGACGUCGUAAGCAGGUUCUGUUCCUUGCUCCUACUUAGACUUUUUAUUCCCUGGGAAAUUCUCCUCACCCCCAGCCCAAGCACAUGGAACCCACCAAGAGUGCAAAGCAAAGCGGGUCAUUUCUGCCUCUGUCUGCGAGACUGGGAAAAGGGAGGGGCGCGCCAGCGCCGGGACUGGCAGCGCCCGACGGGAUUGGAUUCCGGGCCUCUCUGUGUGAUUCGAUUUCGAUUCUUGUCACUCUGGUGGGGGGGGGGGGCGGGGCUUCCCUGCCACAUGCACUUCGUACCGGUUUGUGCAAAACUUUUAAUCAGUGUGGACUCGUAUUGAUGUUAUUGCCCUAGUCCUAGGUGUAGUGUGGGCUUCUGGGAUACAAGGACAGAGAGCUACAGUCUCUGUUUGCAAGUCCAGGGAGGCCGUUCAGUGACUGUGCAAAGGCCACUUAUUGAUGCUUGAGAGUCAUAGUAGGGUCACAAGGUCACAGAAAUAGAGGGGGAAGGGGACCCCCCCCAUUUUACAAAUCAGGAAACAAAGAGAUGCAAAAGGAACAUAGACAUAAGAAUCAUUUGAAUGAAAAAACAAAAUAUUGAACAUUUUGUUACAUGUUAUGUAAAUAUAGCACUCAUAAUUUAUGUUUGCACAAAGAAAAGAACAAGGGCCUCUGCCGGGCACUGAUGAGAGAAAUAGAAACGUAUUUUACAUUGAAUUAUAUUUAAAACAAACAUUUAAGACUGUGAAUUACAUCCUCGUCUUCAGGAAGCCUGCAUUCUAGUACGCUUGGACCUUGCAGACCAGGGAUCGGGCAAGGGAAUUUUUGUUGAUGGAUCAGGAAUAGCGAUGGAACCCGAGGGCCCAAGUGAAGGACUGGCGGGGGCCGGGAUAGAUGGCUGGAGGGAGAGCCCCAUCCGAACCCGGCCCAGGUGGGCAGAGGGGCCACUGUGGGCCCGUGUCCUUGCAGGCCAGACCCACCAGACCCAUGGCUCUGACCCCUGUUGGAUGUUGGGAAACUGGUUGAUGGACCUUUGCAGCAGUAUCCCGAGCUCCCACAAGAUGGCGCUGCUUUUCCAAGUGAGAAGCCAGGGCGGUUCUCCUGCUCCCGGGUGAUGGGCCUUCCUCAGAAGCCGGCUCAGUCCCAGGUCUGUGCUGGGCUCUAAGCCUGGGGCACCCGCGCAGGAACCACCAUUGUUUGUUUGCUUCUAGUGCAGGUAGAGCUAGGUCAAUGGCUGUAGAUGGACCAACAGGGGUCUAGGCACCCACAAAACAGACAUAGGAUGGGCCCUGCCAGCGGCUGGGGAGCUAAGGAGAGCCACCCUCGUCCCCCUGUUACUCCCCCUAUUCCCCUCCUCCCCUGCGCCCCCCCUUCUCCCCUCACACACACCCCGUGCUUGAGAUGACUCUUGAAGGAAGCCGGGAUUGCCAAGAAGCCCAGGAGCAGCCAUUGGGAAGACUCUGAGCUAGGAGGGGCCUGGACAGGUAGAUUGGAGCCAGGCCAUUGGGCUUUGGGUGUGAAGCUGUCGCAGCAAGGAGCCCCCCCUCCCCCGCCCACUGCGCUAUAUGUGCUGAGCAGUGACAGGUGCUGGCCUCUGUGGAAAUUGGAUUCAAGACAGGUGAGACCUGGCCUCAGGAACCUGAUUUAGGAGGGCUUUGUUGUAGUAACCCCAGGUGGAAGCGAUGAGGGCCUGAACUAGAGUGGGGCCUACAGCAGCGUCUUACACUGUGGGUCGAGACCCCACAUGGGAUUGGGGCGGGAGAAAUUUGGCCGCAGGGAAAGAUCCCACGUCCCAUCGAAAUUAAAUUUUCAAGUAAAAAUGAACAAGCACAUCUGUCAAGUUAGGAUGCAAAGUUGCUUUUGUCUCCAACGAAUGGUGAAAUUAUAUGUAUCCCAGAGAAUUGUUUUAAAAUACUUUUAUUUUUAUUUUAUUAUUUUUCUUUUUUCAGUUUCUUUUUUUAAAUUAUAGCUUUUUAUUCA
This is a long non-coding RNA of Antechinus flavipes (yellow-footed antechinus), 3544 nucleotides long. RefSeq lists it as uncharacterized. The transcript has 2 exons. NCBI's taxonomy places the organism in Eukaryota, Metazoa, Chordata, Mammalia, Dasyuromorphia, Dasyuridae. The record is from RefSeq and is a predicted model, not a curated record.